UACAGAGGUCUCAAGCGUUGUUCGGAUUUAUUGGGCGUAAAGAGCUCGUAGGCGGUUUGUCGCGUCGGCUGUGAAAACCUGGGGCUCAACCCCGGGCCUGCAGCCGAUACGGGCAAACUAGAGUUCGGCAGGGGAGACUGGAAUUCCUGGUGUAGCGGUGAAAUGCGCAGAUAUCAGGAGGAACACCGGUGGCGAAGGCGGGUCUCUGGGCCGAUACUGACGCUGAGGAGCGAAAGCGUGGGGAGCAAACAGG
Molecule: ribosomal RNA, 253 nt
Filed under: uncultured bacterium
Lineage: Bacteria
Description: partial 16S ribosomal RNA
Rfam family: Bacterial small subunit ribosomal RNA
Source: RNAcentral